This 445-nucleotide ribosomal RNA is filed under the name uncultured bacterium. Its description in RNAcentral is "partial 16S ribosomal RNA". It matches the Rfam family "Bacterial small subunit ribosomal RNA", at positions 354 to 796 of the family's 1533-position model. The record is from RNAcentral.
GUGAGGAAUAUUGGUCAAUGGGCGGAAGCCUGAACCAGCCAUCCCGCGUGAAGGAAGGCGGCCCUAUGGGUUGUAAACUUCUUUAGUACAUGAAGAACAGGAUCUACGCGUAGGUUUAUGACGGUAAUGUACAAAAAAGCAUCGGCUAACUCCGUGCCAGCAGCCGCGGUAAUACGGAGGAUCCAAGCGUUAUCCGGAUUUAUUGGGUUUAAAGGGUGCGCAGGCGGGUUGAUAAGUCAGCGGUGAAAGUUUGCAGCUUAACUGUAAAAUUGCCGUUGAAACUGUCGAGCUUGAGUGCAAGUGAGGUAAGCGGAAUGUGUUGUGUAGCGGUGAAAUGCUUAGAUAUAACACAGAACACCGAUUGCGAAGGCAGCUUACUGGGAUGCAACUGACGCUCAUGCACGAAAGCGUGGGGAUCAAACAGGAUUAGAUACCCGAGUAGUCC